RNAcentral lists this ribosomal RNA (429 nucleotides) under Chloroflexota bacterium. RNAcentral describes it as "Chloroflexi bacterium partial 16S ribosomal RNA". It matches the Rfam family "Bacterial small subunit ribosomal RNA", at positions 355 to 776 of the family's 1533-position model. Lineage: Bacteria; Bacillati; Chloroflexota. The record is from RNAcentral.
UGGGGAAUAUUGCACAAUGGGCGCAAGCCUGAUGCAGCCAUGCCGCGUGUAUGAAGAAGGCCUUCGGGUUGUAAAGUACUUUCAGUCGGGAGGAAGGUGGUAAGGUUAAUAACCUUGGCAAUUGACGUUACCGACAGAAGAAGCACCGGCUAACUCCGUGCCAGCAGCCGCGGUAAUACGGAGGGUGCAAGCGUUAAUCGGAAUUACUGGGCGUAAAGCGCACGCAGGCGGUUGAUUGAGUCAGAUGUGAAAUCCCCGGGCUUAACCCGGGAAUUGCAUCUGAUACUGGUCAGCUAGAGUCUUGUAGAGGGGGGUAGAAUUCCAUGUGUAGCGGUGAAAUGCGUAGGGAUGUGGAGGAAUACCGGUGGCGAAGGCGGCCCCCUGGACAAAGACUGACGCUCAGGUGCGAAAGCGUGGGGAGCAAACAGG